UCCUCCUACAAAGGCGUGUCUAUGGUACCCUGUCUUUGGACACGUAAGAAUUGGAGGCAAAGAAAUGUGGACUUGGGGAAGUUCUGGAGCCAGCUUGCUCCCCGCAGGUUCAAGACCAACCCUCCCACAUUG
Ochotona princeps (American pika) is the source of this 132-nucleotide small nucleolar RNA. NCBI's taxonomy places the organism in Eukaryota, Metazoa, Chordata, Mammalia, Lagomorpha, Ochotonidae. The record is from Ensembl.